RNAcentral lists this ribosomal RNA (530 nucleotides) under Daldinia sp. HS-EF32. RNAcentral describes it as "eukaryotic LSU rRNA". The stretch from base 149 to 302 matches the Rfam family "5.8S ribosomal RNA". The record is from RNAcentral. Lineage: Eukaryota; Fungi; Ascomycota; Sordariomycetes; Xylariales; Hypoxylaceae.
UGGAACCUACUGCCGUUGCCUCGGCGGGCCGCGCUUACCCGGUAGCUACCCUGUAGCUACCCGGUAGCGCGUUACGGGCCCGCCGGUGGACUUCUCAACUCUGUUAUAUAUAUACGUAUCUCUGAAUGCUUCUAACUAAAUAAGUUAAAACUUUCAACAACGGAUCUCUUGGUUCUGGCAUCGAUGAAGAACGCAACAAAAUGCGAUAAGUAAUGGGAAUUGCAAAAUUCAGUGAAUCAUCUAAUCUUUGAACGCACAUUGCGCCCAUUAAUAUUCUAGUGGGCAUGCCUGUUCGAGCGUCAUUUCAACCCUUAAGCCCUGUUGCUUACUGUUGGGAUUCUAGGCCCCCAGGGCCCUAGUUCCUCAAAGUGAUCGGCGGAGUCGGCGUAUACUCUGAGCGUAGUAGUGUUCUUCUCGCUUUUGUAGUAUCCCCGGCGGCUUGCCGUAAAACACCUAUAUCUUAGUGGUUGACCUCGAAUCAGGUAGGAAUACCCGCUGAACUUACCCAUAUCAUAAGCCCCAAGAAAAAA